CAGCAGCCGCGGUAAUACGGAGGGUGCAAGCGUUAAUCGGAAUUACUGGGCGUAAAGCGCACGCAGGCGGUCUGACAAGUCAGAUGUGAAAUCCCCGGGCUUAACCUGGGAACUGCAUUUGUGACUGUAUAGCUAGAGUACGGCAGAGGGGGAUGGAAUUCCGCGUGUAGCAGUGAAAUGCGUAGAUAUGCGGAGGAACACCGAUGGCGAAGGCAAUCCCCUGGGCCUGUACUGACGCUCAUGCACGAAAGCGUGGGGAGCAAACAGGAUUAGAUACCCCUGUAGUCCCUGUCUCUUAUAC
Molecule: ribosomal RNA, 301 nt
Filed under: uncultured bacterium
Lineage: Bacteria
Description: partial 16S ribosomal RNA
Rfam family: Bacterial small subunit ribosomal RNA
Source: RNAcentral